AACGAACGCUGGCGGCAUGCCUAACACAUGCAAGUCGAACGAGACCUUCGGGUCUAGUGGCGCACGGGUGCGUAACGCGUGGGAACCUGCCCUUAGGUUCGGAAUAACUCCCCGAAAGGGGUGCUAAUACCGGAUAAUGUCUUCGGACCAAAGAUUUAUCGCCUUUGGAUGGGCCCGCGUUGGAUUAGCUAGUUGGUAGGGUAAAAGCCUACCAAGGCGACGAUCCAUAGCUGGUCUGAGAGGAUGAUCAGCCACACUGGGACUGGGACACGGCCCAGACUCCUACGAGAGGCAGCAGUGGGGAAUAUUGGACAAUGGGCGAAAGCCUGAUCCAGCAAUGCCGCGUGAGUGAUGAAGGCCUUAGGGUUGUAAAGCUCUUUUACCCGGGAUGAUAAUGACAGAACCGGGAGAAUAAGCUCCGGCUAACUCCGU
RNAcentral lists this ribosomal RNA (432 nucleotides) under uncultured bacterium. RNAcentral's name for it is "partial 16S ribosomal RNA". It matches the Rfam family "Bacterial small subunit ribosomal RNA", at positions 29 to 506 of the family's 1533-position model. The record is from RNAcentral.